GUGAAUCAUCAAAUUUUUGAACGCAAAUUGCGCCUUUUUCGGAAGGCAUGGCGGUUUGAGGGCAACAGUUAACAAAAAAUGUGCAGCGCUUUUUGUUGCACACGUUGAUGAGCUUUGCAAGAAUCUUAAAUUUUUGGUGGCGCAUAAGAAACAGCGCGAUGAUUAUUUCCAGUUUGAGGGAAGAAAAAUUUUUUGUUGCUGGGGUGGUGAAAAGCGUGAUCGGGCAAUGGGUGUGGCAAGUUUAGUGAAUCAAAGCC
Molecule: unclassified non-coding RNA, 257 nt
Filed under: Paraglomus sp.
Lineage: Eukaryota; Fungi; Glomeromycota; Glomeromycetes; Paraglomerales; Paraglomeraceae
Description: partial contains 5.8S ribosomal RNA and internal transcribed spacer 2
Source: RNAcentral